RNAcentral lists this unclassified non-coding RNA (298 nucleotides) under Hevea brasiliensis (rubber tree). The record is from RNAcentral. Lineage: Eukaryota; Viridiplantae; Streptophyta; Magnoliopsida; Malpighiales; Euphorbiaceae.
UCAUUAUGGGUUAUCUUGUUUUUUUUUUAUCUAAUCAAGUGAUGCCAAUAACACCAAAACAUCAAGGUCAGAGUUAAUAAAGAAAGAAACAAGAACCCAUAAUGAAAUUCUCCAAAGGAGAGAAUUACAACAGAACACUAGGAAAUUCCAAAUUAUCCAUGUUUCAUACUGCUUACGCAGAGCAUAAACCAAAAUAUUUUGUAUUUGACAUUUUCCACAUAUCGGGAGGUAAAACUGAUCACUUUAGCAAGCAUAUUUUGCUAAGCUUGAUUCUCCUGCUGCUGCUGAUAGUUCAAGG